CCCGCUGAACUUAAGCAUAUCAAUAAGCGGAGGAAAAGAAACUAACAAGGAUUCCCCUAGUAACUGCGAGUGAAGCGGGAAAAGCUCAAAUUUAAAAUCUGGUGGUCUUUGGCCAUCCGAGUUGUAAUUUAGAGAAGCGUCUUCCGCGCUGGACCGUGCACAAGUCUCCUGGAACGGAGCGUCGUAGAGGGUGAGAAUCCCGUCUUUGGCACGGACACACCAGGGCUUUUGCGAUGCUCUCUCGAAGAGUCGAGUUGUUUGGGAAUGCAGCUCAAAAUGGGUGGUGAACUCCAUCUAAAGCUAAAUAUUGGCGAGAGACCGAUAGCGAACAAGUACCGUGAGGGAAAGAUGAAAAGCACUUUGGAAAGAGAGUGAAACAGUACGUGAAAUUGUUGAAAGGGAAACGCUUGAAGUCAGUCGCGUCGUCCGAGACUCAGCCUCGCCUCGGCUUGGCGUACUUCUCGGCCCGACGGGUCAGCAUCAAUUUCGCCUCUCGGAUAAUGGCGAGGGAAAAGUGACACCUUUACGGUGUGUUAUAGUCUCUCGUCGCAUGCGAGGGUCGGGACUUGAGGGACUCAGCACGCGCCCUCGGGCGUCGGGGCUUUCGCCCACGAUACGUGCUUAGGAUGUUGGCGUAAUGGCUUUAAACGACCCGUCUUGAAACACGG
This 668-nucleotide ribosomal RNA is filed under the name uncultured fungus. RNAcentral describes it as "eukaryotic LSU rRNA". It matches the Rfam family "Eukaryotic large subunit ribosomal RNA", at positions 24 to 664 of the family's 3401-position model. Lineage: Eukaryota; Fungi. The record is from RNAcentral.